This 522-nucleotide ribosomal RNA is filed under the name uncultured bacterium. Its description in RNAcentral is "partial 16S ribosomal RNA". It matches the Rfam family "Bacterial small subunit ribosomal RNA", at positions 28 to 507 of the family's 1533-position model. The record is from RNAcentral.
GAUGAACGCUGGCGGCGUGCCUAAUACAUGCAAGUCGAACGCUUUGUCUUUAAUUGAUAUGAAGAGCUUGCUCUGAUUUGAUUUUAUCUGACAAAGAGUGGCGAACGGGUGAGUAACACGUGGGUAACCUACCUCUUAGCAGGGGAUAACAUUUGGAAACAAGUGCUAAUACCGUAUAACACUAACAACCGCAUGGUUGUUAGUUGAAAGAUGGUUCUGCUAUCACUAAGAGAUGGACCCCCGGUGCAUUAGCUAGUUGGUAAGGUAAUGGCUUACCAAGGGGAGGAUGGGUAUACGAGGUGGGUGACUGAUCGGCCACAAGGGGACUGAGACACGGCCAAUACUCCUACGGGAGGCAGCAGAAGGGAAUCUUCCACAAUGGGCGCAAGCCUGAUGGAGCAACGCCGCGUGUGUGAUGAAGGGUUUCGGCUCGUAAAACACUGUUAUAAGAGAAGAACGACAUUGAGAGUAACUGUUCAGUGUGUGACGGUAGCUUAUCAGAAAGGAACGGCUAAAUACGUG